UACGGAGGGUGCAAGCGUUGUCCGGAAUCAUUGGGCGUAAAGAGUUCGUAGGUGGCAUGUAAAGUCUGGUGUUAAAUGCAGAAGCUCAACUUCUGUUCGGCACUGGAUACUUGCAAGCUAGAAUGCGGUAGAGGUAAAGGGAAUUCCUGGUGUAGCGGUGAAAUGCGUAGAUAUCAGGAGGAACAUCGGUGGCGUAAGCGCUUUACUGGGCCGUAAUUGACACUGAGGAACGAAAGCCGGGGUAGCAA
RNAcentral lists this ribosomal RNA (248 nucleotides) under uncultured Muribaculaceae bacterium. RNAcentral's name for it is "partial 16S ribosomal RNA". It matches the Rfam family "Bacterial small subunit ribosomal RNA", at positions 524 to 771 of the family's 1533-position model. Lineage: Bacteria; Pseudomonadati; Bacteroidota; Bacteroidia; Bacteroidales; Muribaculaceae. The record is from RNAcentral.